RNAcentral lists this unclassified non-coding RNA (217 nucleotides) under Preussia flanaganii. RNAcentral's name for it is "partial internal transcribed spacer region". The stretch from base 1 to 46 matches the Rfam family "Eukaryotic small subunit ribosomal RNA", at positions 1786 to 1831 of the family's 1831-position model. Lineage: Eukaryota; Fungi; Ascomycota; Dothideomycetes; Pleosporales; Sporormiaceae. The record is from RNAcentral.
AAGUCGUAACAAGGUUUCCGUAGGUGAACCUGCGGAAGGAUCAUUAUCGUGGGGCUUCGGCCCUCUCGAGAUAGAACCCUUGCCCUUUUGAGUACCUUUCGUUUCCUCGGCGGGCUCGCCCGCCAACGGGGACCACAAUAAACCCUUUGUAAUACCUGUAAUCGUCUGACAAAACAAACAAAAAUUAAAACUUUCAACAACGGAUCUCUUGGUUCUG